UAUGUAUUGAGCAGAGGAAGUUUCCUGCAAUAGUACAUAUCUCAUAAGACAAACAUUGUAAGAAUCUUUUUUCUUGCAUGAAUUUUAAGCAGUUACUUUCCACUAUGACUAAGUUAUAAAAUAAAGGAAAUGAAGUCUUCUGUCCACAUUUGCAUAAAAGCCAAAGAACAAUUCUGCGAGAUAGCAACAACCCAUUUCAUACUACUAUUAAGA
This 213-nucleotide unclassified non-coding RNA is filed under the name Hevea brasiliensis (rubber tree). The record is from RNAcentral. Lineage: Eukaryota; Viridiplantae; Streptophyta; Magnoliopsida; Malpighiales; Euphorbiaceae.